Molecule: long non-coding RNA, 1698 nt
Filed under: Homo sapiens (human)
Lineage: Eukaryota; Metazoa; Chordata; Mammalia; Primates; Hominidae
Description: HSALNT0246983
Source: RNAcentral
GAAAAAUCAUAUCAAGCCUUUGCUCAGGCAAUUGCAAUCUAGCUGGGGAAGGCUGACACAUUCGAGAAAAGAGAAACAGAUGAUUAAGCACCAAAAUGAGAGGAAACCUGCAACAGGCAUUCAGUAAAGGAUGAGAGCAGACAAUACAGGAAGCAUGACACCAGCAUCUGCUCAGCUUCUCAGGAGGCCUCAGGGAGCUUUUACGCAGAAGGUGAAGCGGAAGCAGACACAUCACAUGGCUAAAGCAGGAGCAAGAGUGGGAAGAAGGUGCCACACACUUUUGAAUGACCACAAGAACUCACUAUCAUGAAGACAGCACCAGGCCAUGAGGGAUCUGGCCCCAUGAUUCAAACGUCUCCCACUAGGCUCCAUGUCCAGCAAUGGGGAUUAUAAUUCAACAUGAGAUUUGGAAGGGGACAAAUAUCCAAAUGGUAUCACCUGGAAUUGCAGAUUCCCUGCAGAUAAAAGUGCCCUUGAGAGUCCCGAUGCCUUGUGAAUCAAACCAGAGCACAGAGGUUCAUUCAGCAAAUCCAUCAGUAGCAUUCAUUUCAAGGUUUUUCAAUUUACAAAUAUUAUGUAUUCAUAGGAUAAAAUUCUGAAAAUUUAGAAAAUACACAAGAAAAGGAAAUAAAAAUCAAAUGUAAUUUUAUUACUCAGAGAACCUAUCUCUUUUUGCUUAGGUAUGUGUGCACACUGUUUUAUGCCUUUUCCUUUGCAAACACACGUUUUUCACAAAUUGGAAUCAUGCUAUCUAUACUAUUUUGUGUUUGCUUUUAAAAUACAGUGUAUUUUGAACACUUCCCCCUGACCUGAAGCAUUCUAUUGUAAUAUACUUUUUUGUAGAUAUGUUCAGUUUGCCUGGCAAAGUUAGCAACUGAAAAAGAACCUGAAAAGGCAUUAGCAUCAAGUAAAGAUUUUGUUCCAUUCAGGAACAACCAGAACAUAUUUUUGGGCUGCGGGGCAAGAAUCUAUGGAGUGAUUGAAGAGAAAUAUUUGUUGAAUGAAUGAACAGAAGGUGAAGAUGGUGAGAAGGCAGAGAGGGGGAGGUGACAGGAGAGCAGGGGUGGCCUUGAGAGGAAACAGGUAUAUUUUCUGACGGAAAAAUAUGUAUUUGGAGCUAAAGAAUUGGGCUGAUGAAGGAGAGAAUGCUGGAUGGUGUUAAUAUUUGCAAUAAAUGAAUGAGUAAAGACAUCUUUUAAGAAAUGGGAAAAGGGAAGUUAAUUUUUAGAAAAGAAUAGGAUAUUGGCAUUGUUCCUGAGAGCAUAAACCUGGAGAAUUAAAAACAGAUGAGGCCAUCAUAAACAAAUGAGCAUUGUGUUAUUGCCACAUGAACUUAGAGCACUUGGAAAUACAAAUGAUCCCAUAGGUAUUGCUGAGAAUUAGUGGGUACACAGAUUUUAUUUAAAUGAAUUAUUCAAACCUGCUUGGUCCUGUUCUCAUGCUGCAGGUUCUUAAAAUCCUCUGAAAAUAUACCCAAAGAAGAACUCUUUAUUGACUGGUGUAGUUUUGAGGAAGAAGAUAUUAAUGUGUUUUAUUCCUGUGUAAUUUUUUUACUUUUAUUUUUUCCAUAGAUGUGUGACACUGGCCUCCUUUCUAGGUGAAGUAAAAGGGCUCAGACUUUUCAGACAAAUCCUUUUAUGUUAUUCCACUCAAAAGUCCUCAUUUCUUAUUCAGAGACACAUAGCAACAGACUUAAAU